AUAAUGGAAGAUACAUAAUAUAGUUCCAUAAAUUACUCCUAAAUUCCUUGAAUUAUGGAGACAACUCAUUCCCUACUCCUCUUCUCUUCUCCUUAAAUUAAGGAAAAUGUUAUAAAUUCUAACACUUCCCCUUCAUAAGAUUUUUCAGAAGUUAUGGAAUAAAACUUUUUUUUUAAUUUUUGAAUAAAUAAAUAGCUAUUGCAAAGAUAUGGUUCCUAUCUUCUUAAGAGUAAAGAGCAGGUGACCAGUUGGAAGGAGUCGCUGGUGUCAUGCAACCUUGUUGGAGAGAACACCGGCCAUAGGUGUCCUUGUGCUGGAGCAUGUGGCAGGGUCCGAAAUGGCUGUGGCAAUGCUUUGGAGGUAAGGGCAAUGACUCUGAUGACCUAAUUUGUAGGUCAGAUUGGCUAGCAACUGCAGUAUGGGUACUAAAGUCUACCUUCCUCUAGAAGAAUUCCACCUAAAAAUGAUAAGUGUCAUUUUUCUUUAGUGAUAGGAAAAAAUGUUUAGAGAAAUAGAGAAGUCCUUUCUUAGGCUUUGAGAAGAAAAAUAGAGCAGGGACUUCAAACCUUAACUCUGAUGAAACAGAAGAAAGUAGGGCCUUCAACCUUUGAUGGUCAAAUCGUGAAGAAGGAGAAGAAGAGGAUGAAUAGCCUUUGUGUUCUUUCUUUCUCCCUCCCUCCCCGUCUUUCUUCUUGUUCUCUCUUUCUAAAACUUAACAAACGAAUAUGAACUUUUUAAUUGUAAAUAAUAUUCAUAUUGUUGCUUUUGAUUUCUCAUUAUUAGAAUUUUUAAUUGUAAAAUUUUAUCAACUUGGCAAUCACUUUCGAUUUCUUAUAGUAAUGAUAGCUUUCAUAUUAUUGAAAAUAAAGUUUUUAGGAGGCAUGCUUUAGAAAUUAAUGAUUUGGGGUAUCUUGGAUAUUUGUGUUUCUUAAAUUGACAAGGAUUUGUAAUUGCUUGGUGUCCAUAUAAUCGUUCUUGAGUUUUGGCAUUAAGUUACUGUUAACUAAAUCAAUAAUAAAUUGUACUUUCAACCAAUUUAAUUUUCUUGUACUUGUAUUUUCAUUUAUCUUUGCCUGGUUCUAUAUCAAAUUAUUGCAAUGACUAUUGAAGCGUAACUUCAAAUAUAAGAACAUAAGAUGAAGAAGAAUGACACUAACUCUAUAUAUCUGCCUAAUUUGUGGAGAGUACAACUCUUGAUGUGUAAUGGAUAACUCAUGUACGUUAAAGAAUGGCUCUUAGGAGUGAUGCAUGCAGGAAGAUGCAGAAUGCAAUUAAAAUGGAGAACAAAAUUUGAACUUUUAGUUUUGUUGUAGUACUUGUUGGCAACAAAGAGGAGGUAGCAUUAACUCUUAGGAAUAAUCUAGUAAAUAUGAAUGUAAAUUACCAUUAGUUAUCUAUGAGAUCUAAAAAGAUAUUGAAUGUAGCGCUUUGUUUAAAUUAUCAGUUGAGGAACUCAAGGUAGGCAUUUAAUUAGCAAUUGGAUUGAAGGUUGAGGCACACACCCAUUAUCCAUGGAUGCGAUUGUUGAAACACAUGAAUAAGUAGUGCUCAAAGCAGACGUGCUUUAUCUAACCUAAUUGACUUAUUAAAAAAAUAGUAUGCUUCCAAAUAAUUGAGUUGCAUGGGAUAGAAGACAAACUCCUAUCUAAAAACUAAAAUUGCUUAAUUGAUGGGCUUUACAAAUGAAAGUCAACAAUGUUCUUCUCAAUCUCGGCUACGAGUAUCUACUAAAAUUGAUGGAUUUAAGGGGCCUAAAAAAGGGAAACACCAGAGACUAAGGAAUGGAACAUAAGAUUUUUUUUUUUCCUUUCUUUUUUUUAGAAAUUAAAUGUUAAUAGUUUCAAAAAACAGCCGUUACGUAAUGUAACAACCGUUAUUUACAGAUUUUAAAGGCUUUGUUACCUAUAUAUCAGUUAUACAUUGGCAAAAAAAAAAUGAAGGUGCAACAGACAAUAACGACCGUUAAUGUUAUUUACCAUUAAAUAAUGGCUAUUUCUCACUUGGGAUUCUUUUUUUUUUUUUUGCCGAAAGAGAGCAAACAAGUCAUUUCAGUCUUUCGUUUCUACUUUUUGAGGGGUUUCUUCUUCUGUUUCUCACUUUCUCUCUAACUUUCCAUUUAAAAUUUUCUAUCUCUUUAUAAUUCUUUUACUUUUUGAGUUAGUGAAGGUUAAUAUGAAGUGAAUGAGAGAAAUACACAUCCAUAUUUUUCAAAGGGUAACUUCUCUUUCUUUUUUUUUUUCUUAUUUGUUGAAGAAAAUUAUGU
This 2263-nucleotide unclassified non-coding RNA is filed under the name Hevea brasiliensis (rubber tree). Lineage: Eukaryota; Viridiplantae; Streptophyta; Magnoliopsida; Malpighiales; Euphorbiaceae. The record is from RNAcentral.